UCAGUAGGGAAUCUUCCGCAAUGGACGAAAGUCUGACGGAGCAACGCCGCGUGAGUGAAGAAGGUUUUCGGAUCGUAAAACUCUGUUGUUAGGGAAGAACAAGUCAGGUAGUAACUGACCUGACCUUGACGGUACCUAACCAGAAAGCCACGGCUAACUACGUGCCAGCAGCCGCGGUAAUACGUAGGUGGCAAGCGUUGUCCGGAUUUAUUGGGCGUAAAGCGCUCGCAGGCGGUCUUUUAAGUCUGAUGUGAAAGCCCACGGCUUAACCGUGGAGGGUCAUUGGAAACUGGAGGACUUGAGUGCAGAAGAGGAGAGUGGAAUUCCAUGUGUAGCGGUGAAAUGCGUAGAGAUAUGGAGGAACACCAGUGGCGAAGGCGACUCUCUGGUCUGUAACUGACGCUGAGGAGCGAAAGCGUGGGUAGCGAACAGGAUUAGAUACCCUGGUAGUCCACGCCGUAAACGAUGAGUGCUAGGUGUUAGGGGGUUUCCGCCCCUUAGUGCUGAAGUUAACGCAUUAAGCACUCCGCCUGGAGACUCA
RNAcentral lists this ribosomal RNA (541 nucleotides) under uncultured bacterium. Its description in RNAcentral is "bacterial SSU rRNA". It matches the Rfam family "Bacterial small subunit ribosomal RNA", at positions 351 to 883 of the family's 1533-position model. The record is from RNAcentral.